This 594-nucleotide ribosomal RNA is filed under the name Triticum aestivum (bread wheat). RNAcentral's name for it is "partial small subunit ribosomal RNA". The record is from RNAcentral. Lineage: Eukaryota; Viridiplantae; Streptophyta; Magnoliopsida; Poales; Poaceae.
AUGCUGCUCUUCCAACUGAGCGCCGCUGAAAGGUGCACCAUCUUCGACAACUUCCUCGCCGACCCCAGGUACGCCUUUGCAGGCUUCUCCAUCGACGGCGACAAAACUAGGCUAGAGCGCGUCAAUCUGGAGGUCGCCAACUUCGUCGACAUUCAGAAGGAGUGGAGGGUGCCCGAGGCAACCAAUGAGUUGGACUCCCUCAGAGACGUCUCCGGCAUGCUCAUCGAUGAGUACUACAACAACAUGAAGAAGAAGAUCACCGACGACGAACACAAGCGCUGGGCCACCCUGCCUCUGUCCAUGAGGCACAUCGAGUACGCGACAAAGGAUGCCUAUGCAGCGAUGGCACCAGUAGCGGACACAUGCGUGUACGCAGAAGGUCUAGAGCUCACCAACACCAAGUGGCGCAGCAUGCUCGGGUGCCUGAUAUAUACCCAACAGGGGGUUUCGGGCGGCAUUUCUUCAUCGCCUCACAACCCUAGAUCUGCAGGAAAGUUGGAAACUUCCAUCCACAAUAAAAUUUCCUGCUCCAAGUUCAGGGAAGGUUACUUUGGAGACACAACACAAGAAUGGGUAUGCAGACAUGCAAGCUGA